RNAcentral lists this long non-coding RNA (273 nucleotides) under Mytilus galloprovincialis (Mediterranean mussel). The record is from RNAcentral. Lineage: Eukaryota; Metazoa; Mollusca; Bivalvia; Mytilida; Mytilidae.
GGAAAUUGCAAAGUUAACAUUGAUCCGUGUACAUCGUACUGACAACACUAAUUAACCUAAGAUAAAGUGAUCAACAGAUUAAGGACCAUCAAAGGUGUUAAUUAGGCCAUCAACAUGUCACCUAAAGAAAUCAGUAUCAUAAACAAAUGCUAUAAACGUAUCUUGAAUUGUCAAAUAAUUCUUAUCAAAAUCAAGCCCAGCAUGAAAUUAUUAUUUCCUAUAUGUAAGAGAACUUUGAGGAUAUAAAAUGAACAUUUUAUCAUACUAGCAUAU